UGAGGAAUAUUGGUCAAUGGGCGAGAGCCUGAACCAGCCAAGUCGCGUGAAGGAUGAAGGUUCUAUGGAUUGUAAACUUCUUUUAUUCGAGGGUAAAGUGAGGUACGUGUACCUUAUUGCAAGUAUCGAAUGAAUAAGCAUCGGCUAACUCCGUGCCAGCAGCCGCGGUAAUACGGAGGAUGCAAGCGUUAUCCGGAUUUAUUGGGUUUAAAGGGUGCGUAGGCUGUUCUGCAAGUCAGCGGUGGAAGCCCGGGGCUCAACCCCGGAAAUGCCGUUGAUACUGCGGGGCUGGAAUACGGAUGCCGUGGGAGGAAUGAGUAGUGUAGCGGUGAAAUGCAUAGAUAUUACUCAGAACACCGAUUGCGAAGGCAUCUCACGAAUCCGUUAUUGACGCUGAGGCACGAAAGCGUGGGGAUCAAACAGGAUUAGAUACCCUGGGUAGU
This 443-nucleotide ribosomal RNA is filed under the name uncultured bacterium. RNAcentral describes it as "bacterial SSU rRNA". It matches the Rfam family "Bacterial small subunit ribosomal RNA", at positions 355 to 794 of the family's 1533-position model. The record is from RNAcentral.